This 152-nucleotide small nuclear RNA is filed under the name Mus caroli (Ryukyu mouse). Its description in RNAcentral is "predicted gene, 22741 (MGP_CAROLIEiJ_G0035023.1)". The record is from RNAcentral. Lineage: Eukaryota; Metazoa; Chordata; Mammalia; Rodentia; Muridae.
UCACUAUGUAUGCAUCUGUGUCAUCAUGGUCAUAGAGGUGGUUCUCCCAGGGUGCUAAGCUCAUCCCUUGCCCCCUGGAUGUGCUAAAUACUGGGGCUUCCCCAAUGAGAGAAACUUGUGGUAGUGAGGACUGCGUUCAUACCCUCUCCUUU